UCUUCUUCUUCUUCUUCUUGAUUCCGUUAUUAUGCCUUUGAGUGCUCUCCUUCACAUGGCCAACUUCACGAGUACUCCAAGGUUAUUGUUCAUUACAGAAGUGGCUCCACUUCUAUUUAUCUCCUUCACUAGGCGUCGCCCAUUGACACUAAUGUUGGAUCCAAUUGCUGAGGAAGAGAAUGAAUCUUCCCUUACUCAAAACUCGUCUCCCUCUUCGCCGCCUAUUGCCUGCUUGUCUUCACUUCGUCUCUGAACGCCGCACACGGAGUAUUCCCUCAACUUUCCAAGCUACCUUUUUUCUUCCUUCUCCUAAUAGUGAAUAAAGAAGAACCACUGUAUGGUAUCUGAUCUCCAACUCAAUUGAUGGGUUCAACGGCUACCGCAUUUUGUUAUUCCUCUUAAUGUUUUUCUCAUUUUGUUCUGAUGUGAGCUUCAAUGUCUAUGGGAUUGCUUGUUUUGACCAUUGAGCUUCGGCGGUGUUUAUCUACAAUCUCUCAUUAUGAAUAAAACCUCUGACCCUGAUGAGCUCUAAUCUCCCAGUGAUUUUCUCGGAUUUUUUUAUUAAUAUU
Molecule: unclassified non-coding RNA, 569 nt
Filed under: Hevea brasiliensis (rubber tree)
Lineage: Eukaryota; Viridiplantae; Streptophyta; Magnoliopsida; Malpighiales; Euphorbiaceae
Source: RNAcentral